This is a non-coding RNA of Cinara cedri, 816 nucleotides long. The record is from the annotation of a GenBank genome assembly. Lineage: Eukaryota; Metazoa; Arthropoda; Insecta; Hemiptera; Aphididae.
ACCAGCACAACGUAAUGUAAACAUUUUUUAAACAAGCGUUUUAGGCGGCGAUGUUUUCGAUUGUAAUAAUAUUAUAUUAUUAUUUCUAUUUUUAUGCCGUGCCCGUCUAAAACCUGCCAGUUUACAUUAUUUUUAUUGUAAGUGCUGAUGCAUGCAAACAAGUUUUUCGCAUGGUUCAUAAUAAUUAUUAUAAACGUUUCGAAAAAUGUUCAUUUAAGGUCAAUAGGUCAACAGGCACCUUCAGCGUGGUAUUUCUGUUUUUGCUUUUUUUUUUUUUCUUGUCAGCUUUUAGUAUAUUACAUUAGUUUUGUUUUUAAAUAAUUAUUAUUAUCUAUCAAAAACUUUCCAUGUAAAGAAAAUACAGCUAUAAAUAUGGCAAUAUACUUAUCCGGUGUUUGGAGUGCACGUAAAAGUAAUGAAAAUCAAUUUUCCGGUCGGUGAUAAAAUUUUUUUUUUUUUUAAUGUAUAUAGGCACAAUGAGUGAUGAUAUUGUUUUUUUUUUUUUUAAUCCAUAUUAUUUCAGUGCCGUAAUGUUACACAGGGUAAACGACAUCUAAGACAGUUGAUUACAUCCUGUUUGGACUUUUUUUUUUUUUACUUUUUUCAAGUUUCGAUAGCGUCCAUUGAUUAAGUACCAAUUAUUAUACAAGAAAAUAGGUAGAUUAAAAAAGGACGGAUAUACUUCGUACGUAAAUGCAGCCACUGUUGUGAGAAGUUGGGAAGGUAGAAUGCAGACGGAAAUUUAAUGUAUACCUGUAAAGCAACGAUUAACCAUUGUUAACAAAAAAAAACGAUUCUGAGCGGAGUUCAAUUGGU